This 443-nucleotide ribosomal RNA is filed under the name uncultured Prevotella sp. RNAcentral's name for it is "bacterial SSU rRNA". It matches the Rfam family "Bacterial small subunit ribosomal RNA", at positions 355 to 794 of the family's 1533-position model. Lineage: Bacteria; Pseudomonadati; Bacteroidota; Bacteroidia; Bacteroidales; Prevotellaceae. The record is from RNAcentral.
UGAGGAAUAUUGGGUCAAUGGGCGAGAGCCUGAACCAGCCAAGUAGCGUGCAGGACGACGGCCCUAUGGGUUGUAAACUGCUUUUGCGCGGGGAUAAAGUGCGCCACGUGUGGCUCAUUGCAGGUACCGCGCGAAUAAGGACCGGCUAAUUCCGUGCCAGCAGCCGCGGUGAUACGGAAGGUCCAGGCGUUAUCCGGAUUUAUUGGGUUUAAAGGGAGCGUAGGCCGCCCCUUAAGCGUGUUGUGAAAUGCCGCGGCUCAACCGUGGCACUGCAGCGCGAACUGGGGGGCUUGAGUGCACGCAACGCAGGCGGAAUUCGUGGUGUAGCGGUGAAAUGCUUAGAUAUCACGAAGAACUCCGAUUGCGAAGGCAGCUUGCGGGAGUGCGACUGACGCUGAAGCUCGAAGGUGUGGGUAUCGAACAGGAUUAGAUACCCUGGUAGU